Molecule: transfer RNA, 72 nt
Filed under: Camelus bactrianus (Bactrian camel)
Lineage: Eukaryota; Metazoa; Chordata; Mammalia; Artiodactyla; Camelidae
Also listed under: 2 other names
Rfam family: tRNA
About the family: Transfer RNA (tRNA) molecules are approximately 80 nucleotides in length.
Source: Rfam by way of RNAcentral
GGGUACAUAGCUCAGUGGUAGAGCGCAUGCUUAGCUUGCAUGAGGUCCUGGGUUCAAUCCCUAAUACCUCCA